This 323-nucleotide ribosomal RNA is filed under the name uncultured bacterium. RNAcentral describes it as "bacterial SSU rRNA". It matches the Rfam family "Bacterial small subunit ribosomal RNA", at positions 28 to 334 of the family's 1533-position model. The record is from RNAcentral.
GAUGAACGCUGGCGGCGUGCUUAACACAUGCAAGUCGAGCGAAGCAUAAGAGAGGAAGUUUUAAAUGGAAUCGAUUAUGACUGAGCGGCGGACGGGUGAGUAACGCGUGGGUAACCUGCCCUAUACAGGGGGAUAACAGUUAGAAAUGACUGCUAAUACCGCAUAAGCGCACGGAGCCGCAUGGCGCUGUGUGAAAAACGAUAGUGGUAUAGGAGGGACCCGCGUCUGAUUAGGUAGUUGGUGGGGUAACGGCCCACCAAGCCGACGAUCAGUAGCCGACCUGAGAGGGUGACCGGCCACAUUGGGACUGAGACACGGCCCAA